Molecule: transfer RNA, 72 nt
Filed under: Mus musculus (house mouse)
Lineage: Eukaryota; Metazoa; Chordata; Mammalia; Rodentia; Muridae
Description: tRNA-Ala
Source: RNAcentral
GAAGAUGCAGCUCAGUUGGUAGAGUGUUUGUCUAGCGUGCACAAAACCCUGGGUUCAAUCCUCAGCACUGCA